CCUACGGGGUGCAGCAGUGAGGAAUAUUGGUCAAUGGACGCAAGUCUGAACCAGCCAUGCCGCGUGCAGGAAGACGGCUCUAUGAGUUGUAAACUGCUUUUGUACGAGGGUAAACGCAGAUACGCGUAUCUGUCUGAAAGUAUCGUACGAAUAAGGUUCGGCUAACUCCGUGCCAGCAGCCGCGGUAAUACGGAGGAUUCAAGCGUUAUCCGGAUUUAUUGGGUUUAAAGGGUGCGUAGGCGGUCGGAUAAGUUAGAGGUGAAAUCCCGAGGCUCAACUUCGGAAUUGCCUCUGAUACUGUUCGGCUAGAGAGUAGUUGCGGUAGGCGGAAUGUAUGGUGUAGCGGUGAAAUGCUUAGAGAUCAUACAGAACACCGAUUGCGAAGGCAGCUUACCAGGCUACUUCUGACGUUGAGGCACGAAAGCGUGGGGAGCGAACAGGAUUAGAUACCCGGGUAGUC
RNAcentral lists this ribosomal RNA (460 nucleotides) under uncultured bacterium. RNAcentral describes it as "partial 16S ribosomal RNA". It matches the Rfam family "Bacterial small subunit ribosomal RNA", at positions 338 to 795 of the family's 1533-position model. The record is from RNAcentral.